AGGAACGACCAUACUACGAUGACAGCACCGCUUCCCGUCUGCUCAGCGAAGUUAAGCAUCGUCAGGCCCGGUCAGUACUACGGUGGGGGACCACGUUGGAAUCCCGGGUGUUGUUCUUU
This 119-nucleotide ribosomal RNA is filed under the name Fistulifera solaris. Lineage: Eukaryota; Bacillariophyta; Bacillariophyceae; Naviculales; Stauroneidaceae. The record is from RNAcentral.